This 496-nucleotide ribosomal RNA is filed under the name uncultured bacterium. RNAcentral's name for it is "partial 16S ribosomal RNA". It matches the Rfam family "Bacterial small subunit ribosomal RNA", at positions 28 to 506 of the family's 1533-position model. The record is from RNAcentral.
GAUGAACGCUGGCGGCGUGCCUAAUACAUGCAAGUCGAGCGAACAGACGAGGAGCUUGCUCCUCUGACGUUAGCGGCGGACGGGUGAGUAACACGUGGAUAACCUACCUAUAAGACUGGGAUAACUUCGGGAAACCGGAGCUAAUACCGGAUAAUAUAUUGAACCGCAUGGUUCAAUAGUGAAAGACGGUUUUGCUGUCACUUAUAGAUGGAUCCGCGCCGCAUUAGCUAGUUGGUAAGGUAACGGCUUACCAAGGCAACGAUGCGUAGCCGACCUGAGAGGGUGAUCGGCCACACUGGAACUGAGACACGGUCCAGCCUCCUACGGGAGGCAGCAGUAGGGAAUCUUCCGCAAUGGGCGAAAGCCUGACGGAGCAACGCCGCGUGAGUGAUGAAGGUCUUCGGAUCGUAAAACUCUGUUAUUAGGGAAGAACAAAUGUGUAAGUAACUAUGCACGUCUGGACGGUACCUAAUCAGAAAGCCACGGCUAACUACGU